AAAAAAAAGUAUAACUGUUUGAUUGCAUAUAGCUCAAAGACCAUAAGCAGUAGAACCCAAAAUCGAGUUUCAUUGCAUCCAGCGAUGUCUAACUUAAAUUUUGGUAUACUCGACAGGCAUUUUCGUCCAAGAUUGACUGAGAUAUGAGUGUUUAAACUUUUGUUAGCAAAUUUGAAACGGUCACAAAUUAGCUAAAAACGGCCUAUUAAACUGAUUUUUAGCUAAUUUGUGACCGCUUCAAAAUUGUUAACAAAAGUUUAAACUCUUAUAUCUCAGUUAAUCUUGGACGAAUAUGCCUGUCAAAUAUACCAAAAUUUAAGUUAGAUAGCGCUGGAUGCAAUUAAAC
RNAcentral lists this long non-coding RNA (346 nucleotides) under Paramuricea clavata. The record is from RNAcentral. Lineage: Eukaryota; Metazoa; Cnidaria; Anthozoa; Malacalcyonacea; Plexauridae.